Molecule: ribosomal RNA, 497 nt
Filed under: uncultured bacterium
Lineage: Bacteria
Description: partial 16S ribosomal RNA
Rfam family: Bacterial small subunit ribosomal RNA
Source: RNAcentral
GAUGAACGCUGGCGGCGUGCCUAAUACAUGCAAGUCGAGCGAACGGACGAGAAGCUUGCUUCUCUGAUGUUAGCGGCGGACGGGUGAGUAACACGUGGAUAACCUACCUAUAAGACUGGGAUAACUUCGGGAAACCGGAGCUAAUACCGGAUGAUAUUUUGAACCGCAUGGUUCAAAAGUGAAAGACGGUCUUGCUGUCACUUAUAGAUGGAUCCGCGCUGCAUUAGCUAGUUGGUAAGGUAACGGCUUACCAAGGCAACGAUGCGUAGCCGACCUGAGAGGGUGAUCGGCCACACUGGAACUGAGACACGGUCCAGACUCCUACGGGAGGCAGCAGUAGGGAAUCUUCCGCAAUGGGCGAAAGCCUGACGGAGCAACGCCGCGUGAGUGAUGAAGGUCUUCGGAUCGUAAAACUCUGUUAUUAGGGAAGAACAUAUGUGUAAGUAACUAUGCACGUCUUGACGGUACCUAAUCAGAAAGCCACGGCUAACUACGUG